AAUCCAUGUGUCGGACACUUCUGAAUUAAGUCUUUAAAUCGUUCCCAAGCUUCAUAUAGUGUUUCAUCAUCUAGUUAUCAAAAAGAUGUGGUGUCAUUUCUAGGUUU
This is a small nucleolar RNA of Gossypium raimondii (Peruvian cotton), 107 nucleotides long. It matches the Rfam family "Plant small nucleolar RNA R71". Rfam says of the family: R71 is a member of the C/D box family of snoRNAs containing the C (UGAUGA) and D (CUGA) box motifs. Multiple nearly identical copies of this snoRNA have been identified in Arabidopsis, and it is thought to function as a 2'-O-ribose methylation guide for 18S ribosomal RNA. Lineage: Eukaryota; Viridiplantae; Streptophyta; Magnoliopsida; Malvales; Malvaceae. The record is from Rfam.